AAGUCGUAACAAGGUUUCCGUAGGUGAACCUGCGGAAGGAUCAUUAUCACGUACUUUUGUACAAACCUAUUAAAACGUUGCAUAGUCGUAGUGUCAGUUGAUGUGUCAGAGUUUUACACUCUCAUUCGGCCAGGUAGAUGAAAUAUUUAUCUGUUGAUGAGUGGCCGUGUGAUGAAAUGCGAUAGAUGUCUAACUCGCUCAGCUUCUAGCUGAAAGCCUUCAACGUACGACCUACGGCGCCUUUUCUACCGAAUCACAAUUCUCACAUUUAAUUUUACCACUUUAACCUUUUUAUUUAUUAACUCGUCUGCUUAACCGUAGACCUCGAACAACAUGUUGUGUAGAAAGCUGCUUUCUCUGAAAAGAGAGGUAGGUUGCUACCAAUACGAAAUAAAAAAAGAACAACUCUUAACAACGGAUAUCUUGGCUCUC
This 432-nucleotide unclassified non-coding RNA is filed under the name fungal sp. RNAcentral's name for it is "partial internal transcribed spacer region". The stretch from base 1 to 46 matches the Rfam family "Eukaryotic small subunit ribosomal RNA", at positions 1786 to 1831 of the family's 1831-position model. The record is from RNAcentral. Lineage: Eukaryota; Fungi.